CCUACGGGAGGCAGCAGUAGGGAAUAUUGCUCAAUGGGGGAAACCCUGAAGCAGCAACGCCGCGUGGAGGAUGACGGUUUUCGGAUUGUAAACUUCUUUUGUUAGAGAAGAUAAUUACGGUAUCUAACGAAUAAGCACCGGCUAACUCCGUGCCAGCAGGCGCGGUAAUACGGAGGGUGCAAGCGUUACUCGGAAUCACUGGGCGUAAAGGGCGCGUAGGCGGGAUAGCAAGUCAGAUGUGAAAUCCUAUGGCUUAACCAUAGAACUGCGUUGGAAACUGUUAUUCUAGAGUGUGGGAGAGGUAGGUGGAAUUCUUGGUGUAGGGGUAAAAUGCGUAGAGAUCAAGAAGAAUACUCAUUGCGAAGGCGGCCUACUAGAACAUAACUGACGCUGAUGCGCGAAAGCGUGGGGAGCAAACAGGAUUAGAUACCCCAGUAGUC
This 440-nucleotide ribosomal RNA is filed under the name uncultured bacterium. RNAcentral's name for it is "partial 16S ribosomal RNA". It matches the Rfam family "Bacterial small subunit ribosomal RNA", at positions 338 to 795 of the family's 1533-position model. The record is from RNAcentral.